UACAGAGGUCUCAAGCGUUGUUCGGAUUCAUUGGGCGUAAAGGGCUCGUAGGCGGCCAACUAAGUCAGACGUGAAAUCCCUCGGCUUAACCGGGGAACUGCGUCUGAUACUGGAUGGCUUGAGUUUGGGAGAGGGAUGCGGAAUUCCAGGUGUAGCGGUGAAAUGCGUAGAUAUCUGGAGGAACACCGGUGGCGAAGGCGGCAUCCUGGACCGGCAUUGACGCUGAGGCGCGAAAGCCAGGGGAGCAAACGGG
This 253-nucleotide ribosomal RNA is filed under the name uncultured bacterium. RNAcentral's name for it is "partial 16S ribosomal RNA". It matches the Rfam family "Bacterial small subunit ribosomal RNA", at positions 524 to 776 of the family's 1533-position model. The record is from RNAcentral.